RNAcentral lists this long non-coding RNA (527 nucleotides) under Homo sapiens (human). RNAcentral describes it as "HSALNT0083599". The record is from RNAcentral. Lineage: Eukaryota; Metazoa; Chordata; Mammalia; Primates; Hominidae.
UUUGAUGAAGAGCUCCAAAGAUAGCUUUAAGUGAACUUUCAAAGUCCAGCCCUCAGUGAGGCCAGAAAUCACUAGAAAUCUCAUUUAAACUUUCCCUCCUCGUUCUCAAGCAAAUUUACAACAGCGGCCAGUACUUUUGCAAGAUCGCUGGAGAGAAUUCAUCAUCAGAAUAGAGAUUGCAAGACCAUCACGAUGACUUCACGUCAGUGCCAGCAUAUGCAGCCGUGGAAUACAGUGAGCGCUCUCUGCGGCUGACAGCAAUAGCGGUGAUCUAAUUUACCCGGCGACUGGAAGAAACUCUUUGUACAGGCUCUGGGUCCCUUUGGAUUAGUGACUUCAAGGUCAACUGGAGGAGAAAGGAAGCAGGGCUGAGGGUCACCCUCUCCUGUCUCAUUUGCAUGCUCUUGAAUAUAUGAUUUUAAGAAACAUGCGUUUUUGAUCUGCAAUGUAAAAAUUCCUCAAUGAUUUUUUGUACAGAUGUGCAGAAUACAGGAAUGAAAUAAAAUAUUGAGAAUUUGUGGCCUCAC